UGGGGAAUUUUGGACAAUGGGCGCAAGCCUGAUCCAGCCAUGCCGCGUGAGUGAAGAAGGCCUUCGGGUUGUAAAGCUCUUUCGGCCGGGAAGAAAUCGGUCUCUCGAAUAAAGGGAUCGGAUGACGGUACCGGACUAAGAAGCACCGGCUAACUACGUGCCAGCAGCCGCGGUAAUACGUAGGGUGCGAGCGUUAAUCGGAAUUACUGGGCGUAAAGCGUGCGCAGGCGGUUUGCUAAGACAGGUGUGAAAUCCCCGGGCUUAACCUGGGAACUGCGCUUGUGACUGGCAGGCUGGAGUACGGUAGAGGGGGGUGGAAUUCCUGGUGUAGCAGUGAAAUGCGUAGAGAUCAGGAGGAACACCGAUGGCGAAGGCAGCCCCCUGGGCCUGUACUGACGCUCAUGCACGAAAGCGUGGGGAGCAAACAGGAUUAGAUACCCUGGUAGUCCACGCCCUAAACGAUGUCGACUAGUUGUUCGGUGCAGCAAUGCGCU
Molecule: ribosomal RNA, 494 nt
Filed under: uncultured Pseudomonadota bacterium
Lineage: Bacteria; Pseudomonadati; Pseudomonadota
Description: bacterial SSU rRNA
Rfam family: Bacterial small subunit ribosomal RNA
Source: RNAcentral